This 468-nucleotide ribosomal RNA is filed under the name uncultured bacterium. Its description in RNAcentral is "partial 16S ribosomal RNA". It matches the Rfam family "Bacterial small subunit ribosomal RNA", at positions 28 to 507 of the family's 1533-position model. The record is from RNAcentral.
GACGAACGCUGGCGGCGUGCUUAACACAUGCAAGUCGAACGGAAAGGCCCUGCUUUUGUGGGGUGCUCGAGUGGCGAACGGGUGAGUAACACGUGAGUAACCUGCCCUUGACUUUGGGAUAACUUCAGGAAACUGGGGCUAAUACCGGAUAGGAGCUCCUGCUGCAUGGUGGGGGCUGGAAAGUUUCGGCGGUUGGGGAUGGACUCGCGGCUUAUCAGCUUGUUGGUGGGGUAGUGGCUUACCAAGGCUUUGACGGGUAGCCGGCCUGAGAGGGUGACCGGCCACAUUGGGACUGAGAUACGGCCCAGACUCCUACGGGAGACAGCAGUGGGGAAUAUUGCACAAUGGGCGGAAGCCUGAUGCAGCAACGCCGCGUGCGGGAUGACGGCCUUCGGGUUGUAAACCGCUUUCGCCUGUGACGAAGCGUGAGUGACGGUAAUGGGUAAAGAAGCACCGGCUAACUACGUG